AGGAGAUGCCACUUGCCACUUUUUAAUCCCAACUGGGAUAAAAAAUAGCCAAGUCAAGAUGUGAUGGCAUGUGAGCCUGUAGCUCUAAUGACUGAUCCGUGGAGAACUACUGCACUAGAUUUCACAUCAUCAUUACAAGGAGCAGGCAAUACUAACUUAAGGCCCGAAAAGCGACAACGACCCGUGGCGGCCCGCCAAACCGCCGCGGAAGAGCCCCCAGCCGCCAAACCCCAUCUC
Oxyura jamaicensis (ruddy duck) is the source of this 237-nucleotide long non-coding RNA. RefSeq lists it as uncharacterized. NCBI's taxonomy places the organism in Eukaryota, Metazoa, Chordata, Aves, Anseriformes, Anatidae. The record is from RefSeq and is a predicted model, not a curated record. The transcript is spliced from 3 exons.